GGAGGGUGCGAGCGUUGUCCGGAAUCAUUGGGCGUAAAGGGCGCGUAGGUGGCCCGGUCAGUCUUUGGUGAAAGCGCGGGGCUCAACCCUGCGUCGGCCAGGGAUACUGCCGCGGCUCGAGCACUGUAGAGGCAGGCGGAAUUCCGGGUGUAGCGGUGGAAUGCGUAGAGAUCCGGAAGAACACCGGUGGCGAAGGCGGCCUGCUGGGCAGUUUUGCUGACACUGAGGCGCGACAGCGUGGGGAGCAAACAGGAUUAGAUACCCUGGUAGUCCACGCCGUAAACGAUGGGCACUAGGCGCUUGGGGGAGCGACCCCCCGAGGGCCGGCGCUAACGCAUUAAGUGCCCCGCCUGGGGAGUACGGCCGCAAGGCUG
Molecule: ribosomal RNA, 374 nt
Filed under: uncultured bacterium
Lineage: Bacteria
Also listed under: 1 other name
Description: bacterial SSU rRNA
Rfam family: Bacterial small subunit ribosomal RNA
Source: RNAcentral